This 220-nucleotide long non-coding RNA is filed under the name Lathyrus oleraceus (garden pea). RNAcentral's name for it is "Pisum sativum (pea) long non-coding RNA (PSAT_LNC013906)". Lineage: Eukaryota; Viridiplantae; Streptophyta; Magnoliopsida; Fabales; Fabaceae. The record is from RNAcentral.
CGGUUCUCUCUGUCUCUUCACUGCACGCUCUUCCAGAACCUCAAUAAGUGCAUCCUUGUCUCUCGACUCAAGCUACAACUCUAUAAGCUUGCAGUUUAACGCAUGGAAUCUCUCUUCCCACAAGUCUCUCUCUUGCUUCAUCUUGGAGAGUGCGUGUUCCAACUCCUCUAUAUCUUGGUUAGGGAGAGUUGAUGGCUCAACCACAACCAUAGACAUAGGU